CAAGUACCAUGAGGGAAAGAUGAAAAGGACUUUGGAAAGAGAGUUAAAAGUGCCUGAAAUUGCUGAAAGGGAAGCGAAUGGAACCAGUGCUCUUGGCGAGAUUGUUGUGCGCUAUGGUGAUUGCUGGCUGCUUCAGCGCAAGCGAGGUAGUUGGUACUGAGCCUGACGCGCGCAGUGUUUCUUACCUUGUGCGUCACCGUCGGUUCACAGGCGAGGAUACUUCUGAGGACAUGGUAACUCUUCCACGGAGGUGUGAAUGUCUUUGGUAAUACUCGUUUGUAGACCGCUCACCUUCGGGUUACGAUGACUAAAUGGUUCUAUUCGACCCGUC
RNAcentral lists this ribosomal RNA (331 nucleotides) under Amphidoma sp. RNAcentral describes it as "partial large subunit ribosomal RNA". It matches the Rfam family "Eukaryotic large subunit ribosomal RNA", at positions 345 to 653 of the family's 3401-position model. The record is from RNAcentral. Lineage: Eukaryota; Dinophyceae; Gonyaulacales; Amphidomataceae.